GGGGGCAACCCUGACGGAGCAACGCCGCGUGAGUGAAGAAGGUUUUCGGAUCGUAAAGCUCUGUUGUAAGUCAAGAACGAGUGUGAGAGUGGAAAGUUCACACUGUGACGGUAGCUUACCAGAAAGGGACGGCUAACUACGUGCCAGCAGCCGCGGUAAUACGUAGGUCCCGAGCGUUGUCCGGAUUUAUUGGGCGUAAAGCGAGCGCAGGCGGUUUGAUAAGUCUGAAGUUAAAGGCUGUGGCUCAACCAUAGUUCGCUUUGGAAACUGUCAAACUUGAGUGCAGAAGGGGAGAGUGGAAUUCCAUGUGUAGCGGUGAAAUGCGUAGAUAUAUGGAGGAACACC
RNAcentral lists this ribosomal RNA (345 nucleotides) under uncultured bacterium. Its description in RNAcentral is "bacterial SSU rRNA". It matches the Rfam family "Bacterial small subunit ribosomal RNA", at positions 373 to 710 of the family's 1533-position model. The record is from RNAcentral.